AUUGAACGCUGGCGGCAUGCUUUAAACAUGCAAGUCGAACGGCAGCGCGGGCUUCGGCCUGGCGGCGAGUGGCGAACGGGUGAGUAAUGCAUCGGAACGUGCCCAGUAGUGGGGGAUAGCCCGGCGAAAGCCGGAUUAAUACCGCAUACGACCUGAGGGUGAAAGCGGGGGACCGAAAGGCCUCGCGCUAUUGGAGCGGCCGAUGUCGGAUUAGCUAGUUGGUGGGGUAAAGGCUUACCAAGGCGACGAUCCGUAGCUGGUCUGAGAGGACGACCAGCCACACUGGGACUGAGACACGGCCCAGACUCCUACGGGAGGCAGCAGUGGGGAAUUUUGGACAAUGGGGGCAACCCUGAUCCAGCCAUGCCGCGUGCGGGAAGAAGGCCUUCGGGUUGUAAACCGCUUUUGUUCGGGAAGAAAUCCUCUGGGCUAAUACCCCGGGGGGAUGACGGUACCGGAAGAAUAAGCACCGGCUAACUACGUG
Molecule: ribosomal RNA, 484 nt
Filed under: uncultured bacterium
Lineage: Bacteria
Description: partial 16S ribosomal RNA
Rfam family: Bacterial small subunit ribosomal RNA
Source: RNAcentral